AAGGUUAAAGAAUAAAACCUAGAUGAGAAUUUGAGGAUUUAUUUAAAAUUUUUCAAGUAAAACCUAUAUGGUUUGCUAUUCGAAUGAGAAUAGAGAAAAUAUGGGUUACAAAAUUCCAAAACCCUAGAAAUGAAUUAAUAUGUACUUGAAGGAAUAUUAAGAAUAAGGUAUUACGAUACCUUUAAAUUCGAUGUGAACGGAAUAGUCUAAAAAAAAUUUUAUAUAAGUACAUAUGGAAAUUUUAUUAUUGGAGAUAAGAUUUCACAUGAAGAGAUGCUAUGAGGUUAAACGAAGAUGAGUAUAUGUAUAGAAAUAUAUAUACUUAGUAAGGUGCUAUAUAUAUUUUAGCAAGAGGAAUGAUGAAUUAAGUUAAUGAUAUAAUGAUCAAG
Molecule: long non-coding RNA, 389 nt
Filed under: Panax ginseng (ginseng)
Lineage: Eukaryota; Viridiplantae; Streptophyta; Magnoliopsida; Apiales; Araliaceae
Description: long non-coding RNA (PGIN_LNC002075)
Source: RNAcentral